Molecule: ribosomal RNA, 505 nt
Filed under: uncultured bacterium
Lineage: Bacteria
Description: bacterial SSU rRNA
Rfam family: Bacterial small subunit ribosomal RNA
Source: RNAcentral
AACGGACGCUGGCGGCAUGCUUAACACAUGCAAGUUGAACGCAGAAUAAGCCUUCGGGUUUAUUGCUGAGUAGCAAACGGGUGAGUAACGCGUGGGAAUCUACCUUUAUGUGGGGGAUAACUAAGGGAAACUUUAGCUAAUACCGCAUACGCUCUAAGGAGGAAAGGCUUCGGCCGCAUAAAGAGGAGCCGCGUCAGAUUAGGUAGUUGGUGGGGUAAAGGCCUACCAAGCCAAUGAUCUGUAGCUGGUCUGUGAGGAUGAUCAGCCACACUGGGACUGAGACACGGCCCAGACUCCUACGGGAGGCAGCAGUGGGGAAUAUUGGACAAUGGGGGAAACCCGUGAUCCAGCAAUGCCGCGUGAAUGAUGAAGGCCUUAGGGUUGUAAAGUUCUUUCACCUGUGAAGAUAAUGACGGUAGCAGGAGAAGAAGCCCCGGCAAACUCCGUGCCAGCAGCCGCGGUAAGACGGAGGGGGCUAGCGUUGUUCGGAAUGACUGGGCGUAAA